AGUGAACGCUGGCGGUAGGCCUAACACAUGCAAGUCGAACGGCAGCACAGGAGAGCUUGCUCUCUGGGUGGCGAGUGGCGGACGGGUGAGGAAUACAUCGGAAUCUACUCUGUCGUGGGGGAUAACGUAGGGAAACUUACGCUAAUACCGCAUACGACCUACGGGUGAAAGCAGGGAACCUUCGGGCCUUGCGCUAUUGAAUGAGCCGAUGUCGGAUUAGCUAGUUGGCGGGGUAAAGGCCCACCAAGGCGACGGUCCGUAGCUGGUCUGAGAGGAUGAUCAGCCACACUGGAACUGAGACACGGUCCAGACUCCUACGGGAGGCAGCAGUGGGGAAUAUUGGACAAUGGGCGCAAGCCUGAUCCAGCCAUACCGCGUGGGUGAAGAAGGCCUUCGGGUUGUAAAGCCCUUUUGUUGGGAAAGAAAUCCAGCUGGCUAAUACCCGGUUGGGAUGACGGUACCCAAAGAAUAAGCACCGGCUAACUUCGUGCCAGCCGCCGCAGUAA
Molecule: ribosomal RNA, 506 nt
Filed under: uncultured bacterium
Lineage: Bacteria
Description: partial 16S ribosomal RNA
Rfam family: Bacterial small subunit ribosomal RNA
Source: RNAcentral